RNAcentral lists this non-coding RNA (99 nucleotides) under Paenibacillus sp. RNAcentral describes it as "Guanine sequence". It matches the Rfam family "Purine riboswitch aptamer". From Rfam's summary of the family: Riboswitches are metabolite binding domains within certain messenger RNAs that serve as precision sensors for their corresponding targets. Allosteric rearrangement of mRNA structure is mediated by ligand binding, and this results in modulation of gene expression. A class of riboswitches that selectively recognises guanine and becomes saturated at concentrations as low as 5 nM. The record is from RNAcentral. Lineage: Bacteria; Bacillati; Bacillota; Bacilli; Caryophanales; Paenibacillaceae.
UCGAUAUGACAUGUGGAUGUUCGUAUAUCCCCGAUAAUCGGAUCGGGGGUCUCUACCAGGAACCGUAAAUUCCUGACUACGACGGUGGUUUCGCAUACC